Molecule: ribosomal RNA, 259 nt
Filed under: uncultured bacterium
Lineage: Bacteria
Description: partial 16S ribosomal RNA
Rfam family: Bacterial small subunit ribosomal RNA
Source: RNAcentral
GACAGAGGGUGCAAACGUUGUUCGGAAUUACUGGGCGUAAGCGCGUGUAGGCUGCUUCGCAAGUCGGAUGUGAAAGCCCUGGGGCUCAACCCCAGAAAGUGCAUUCGAAAACUGCAGAGCUGGAGUCCUGGAGAGGAAGGGCGGAAUUCUCGGUGUAGAGGUGAAAUUCGUAGAUAUCGAGAGGAACACCGGUGGCGAAGGGCGGCCCUUCUGGGACAGUGACUGACGCUGAGACGCGAAAGCGUGGGGAGCAAGCAGG